Molecule: long non-coding RNA, 1419 nt
Filed under: Trifolium pratense (red clover)
Lineage: Eukaryota; Viridiplantae; Streptophyta; Magnoliopsida; Fabales; Fabaceae
Description: long non-coding RNA (TPRA_LNC011645)
Source: RNAcentral
CAAGGGUUUUUCAACAGUUCUCUUCGUUGUUGCCGCCAUCAUCACGUGCAAGUCUUAAUCAAUAUGUAUCCCUAUUUCUUCAGUAAGUAGAUCUGAACUAUGUUUAUCUCAAUCUUAAUUUUCUAUGAUGUUUGAUACUGUGAUUUCUAAGCUUCAAUUUUGAAUCUGGUAGUUCUGUCCAGAAUUUGCGAUCAGACAAUUGUUUCCCACGUUCUUGAUGCUUGUAGAUUUCUCCACACAUUUAGUUAUUAGUAACUUAUUUAACAUCAGUGAUAAUUUAGUCUAGUUAAAUAGAUGAAAUAAGGUAUAAAGAGGUGCUUUUGGUAAGGUACUUUAAUCUACUUUUCAAUAUCCGCUAAUUUUUGUCAAAUAGAGUCAUACUCUCGUGGAAAUUUGUCUUUGAAAUAGCUGAAAUCCCUAAUUUUAUCUUUAUACCAUUCUGAUUGUUGGAAACUCUCCACUGUAUGUACAUGUUUUGGAAAUAGAGAUUGGGAACAUGUAGGAAAGCAUUCUAAAUCUGAAUUACCACUUUUGAUGUUUAUGUAAGUUUAUAAUAUAUUUUUGUUGGAUUGCAUACUCUUUAUUUGAUAGUUCUUGAAAGAAGUUGUGCUUGUUGCUAACUAUAAGUUGUUGGAUGGUUUCUCAGUUCCCUUGUGAUUUAAGACUUUUUACCAAUUCACAUGUACUGAUUGCUUGUGGAAUUUUUGGUUGUGCUUUUUCUCUUUUAAUUUGGUAGUUUAGAAGCAGUGAUAAUUCUUAUGGACGAUUGUACUUUUUAGCAAUGUUGUGAUCAGAAUUUUGUAUUCUAUGCAGGUUAUAUAUUUUAUGGAUAUGGUUAUACUUGAAGAACCAAUAGAGAGGUAUCAUUAGUUGAAGCUUGUUUGGAAUCUUCAUUUUUAGCUCUCUUCAUUGACCAACUGAUUGAAAUGAUAUACUAUUCUCAAGUUCUAUCAAUAGACAGACAUUGAUUAUUAUCAUAACUUUCAGGAUAUAUUACAAACUCAAUGGCACUAAGGAUUGGUUGCUUUAAUCAAAGGAAUUUUCUAUUUGUCAGGCGAGAAGUUAAAGUUUGAUAUAAUAUGGUUGGUUUCUUGAACCCUUAAGUUAACAUGUGGAAAAUUUAAAUUGAACGUGAUGUAUUUAACUAUGUAGGCAAUAUAGAACUAUUGUAAAGAGAUAAAUGAGGGGAAGAAAUGCUUCUGAGCUAGACAAAAAAGUACAUAGAGAAUUCGUUCUUUGGUUCACCAAUCGUGUGAGUGUUUCUACAUGUUCUUUUCAGAUCAAGUGACUAAUUUCUAUAGCAAUGCGACUAACUAUUGUCAUUUUCUUAUUCAGAUUGGAAACAAUCUUGAUAGUCAUAGCGGACCAGAUGAAGAUGUUCUUAAUAGUCUUGCACAAGGUCCUUGGUCAAGCUAAAAG